RNAcentral lists this non-coding RNA (204 nucleotides) under Vibrio mytili. The record is from RNAcentral. Lineage: Bacteria; Pseudomonadati; Pseudomonadota; Gammaproteobacteria; Vibrionales; Vibrionaceae.
UAGUAUCUGCCUCAAGCUGGUGCUGUUUAGAAAUCUAGACGGCUGAAAAGGGAAUCUGGUGAAAGUCCAGAACUGACGCGCAGCGGUAAAAGAGAACGAAAGCUCAAUAAGACACUGCAUGAGUUUAUGUGGGAAGUCGAGUGAGUAGGAAGCAUGAUUAUUUUGCUCUUAAGUCCGAAUACCUGCCAGUAAGCGAGCCAUGAC